CCCGCGAGCGGCAGUGCGGGCGGCGGGGUGCUGACCUCUGCGGACGGAAGGAAGAAGGAAGGAAGGAAGGAGGGCUCCGGCAGCGCGGAGCUGCGGCGGCGCGCCCCGGGAGCGCAGCUCGGGCACGGGAGGAUGCGGGGCUCGGCCGCGGGAGCCAGAAGGAACCACCACUGCGGGAGGGGGGGAGACGAUCGCUGCCUUCAUUUAUUUAUUUAUUUUUAAUUUUUCUGAAGAGACUCCCAACUUUUUUUGGGGGAGGGGGCUGAUUUUCUUUUUGGGCUUUUUUUUUCCCCCCCUUCCCCCCCUCCUUUUUGCCUGUGAUUACUCUCAUCAUAGCCCACCUUCUCAUGGCUUGCCAGCACCCAUCCUUGGACUCUUAGCUCCCAGCCCAGCAGCCGUGAGGUACCACCUCUCCACCACCACCACCACCACCACCCCACCGCAGGCAGCAGGUGCCACCGGCCCCGCACCUCUCCGCACCCUGCAGGCCCGGCCCGGCGAGCUGGCGGGUGAGAUGGCAGCUGCCGGGCCCUGGCUGCACCGCUGCCAGCCUGCAUGACCCUGAGCUCAGGAUCCUACAUGAAGAAACACACGUGGAAGUAGUCCUGAAGACCUCAGAGAAAGCUGGCACUUUCGCAGUGGAAUACAACUCCGAAUCCCAAGAACACAUCCUGCAAAAUUACCAGUGAUUCAAGUCUCCGUUCAACCCUGGUUGCUCAGAACAGCAAGCAGCUGCAGAAGCCUGAAUAAGCACUUCUCUUGUCAGUGCCAUCAGAGCAGUGAGCUAUAACUGGCUUUAAGCCACUGCACAGGUCGAUGUGUAAAAUGCCUAAUUCUGUGAAGAAAAACAAACCUACCAACUUCCAUAGUAGGAAAAAAAAGAUUCUCUCUGUCUACCUGCUUCAGAGGUACUCAAGCACAGCUGCAACCAGAAAGUAGAUACCUAACUGCUUUAUAUAGCAAGCCUUUUUAGAUACUAGUCAAAACACACAUACAGGGAAACCUACACAAGGUUCAAAUCACUAAUACUGGAAAUACUUUUUAUUCUUGAAGUAAAAACUUUCAUAAGUAAGAAAAGAUUCAGGGAAAAAAAAACUGUAUGAUGCCUCACAUUCUACCACCUGUCAAACCAAACUAGUCUAAAUUCCAAUUUUGAUCUCUCUGUCAAAGAAAAAUCUUGUUCAUAUUCACCCACAGAAAAAUCUUCAGUACCCCUAGGAAGAGCUCUUUUUCCAUACAUUUUCCUUGCAUUUCAUAUUGAGAUAGUUUUUCAUGCAAACCAACUGUGACAAGAGCCUAAGGAAAGUAACACAGAAGUUAAAAAGAAUCCAACCCAGGUAACUGGAGACCACACACAGUAUUCCUGGUUAAUGCUGUUAAUGUAAACAUGGAGAGUUCAUGUUAAAUGAGUAAGUUACCCCUUUGUGAAACAACUGUCUUUGAAUGCCAAAAAUACACUCCCUGCACAACAUCCUCAAAACGUUCUCUUACAGACCUAUUUCAGGCACUGUGGAAAGCUGUAAAUACAGUUAUUGUUCCUAUCAACACUCCCAACCACAACUUUCAACUAUGUGAUUCCAUUCAUUUUACAUACGUAAACACUCAUAUUUACUUUUUGACCAUCAGCCUCGAUAGCUGUAUGCUAAGACACUCACCCACGUUAUUCGCACACAUAAUAUAUAUAACAUCCUUAUAAAUAACAUCCUUAUUCAUCUAGCUUCAUUCAACUGAAAAGCAGAAAAAUUUAGCAGUAAACAAGCAUACACAUUUCUUUCUUCAUGCAAAGACAAUUCUCCGCUAUGCAAUAUCACCCAAGUCCUGUUAUUAUAACAGCCUUCAAGAAAAUCACAUUAUCCAUAACAUAAUAAGCAACCAGCAAGUUCUCCCACAAAGUUCUACAAUCAUUUUUUCUGCAAACUAUCUUAACUGAGGAUUCAACACAGAUGCAUAGUAUGCAAUUGGCACAAAACAAAUUAUGCCUUAAAUUUAACUUCUUCAGAAUAACCUAUUACACAAAGAAGAAAUUCCUUCUACACAUGCUUUUGAGGAAACAAAAUCAUGUUUCUUUUAACAAAGGGGAUUGAACCCACCAAUCCUAUCACUUUAUAACCACACAGUAUCUUUAGAAAUUACUCUAUUUUUUUUAAAACCUCAAAUCCCUUCCCCAGUUCCAACGUUCAAGAAGAACAGAAGCAUUUUUACAAAUGCUUUAAGAUCCUACUUAACUUCUCACUGGUAAAAGCCUGUUUGCAAACUUCUACAGACUUCUACAGAGAUCCAGAGUUGCCUCAACACAGCACUGAAUGCAGCAGAUUAGUGAUUUCAUUCUACUUGUGGCCUACUCUACUACUAGAAAUAAUUCCUAUCUAAGCAAUAUCAAAAUUUAAGAAACAACUAUAUGCAGGCUCCUUUUAAGGACCUUUUAAAAGAAUACCACGAUUCCACAUUUCUAUGCACUUGUCUUUCACAAAUGAGAAAAUAUUUUUUAAAAACAAA
Molecule: long non-coding RNA, 2496 nt
Organism: Tympanuchus pallidicinctus (lesser prairie-chicken)
Lineage: Eukaryota; Metazoa; Chordata; Aves; Galliformes; Phasianidae
Exons: 3
Source: RefSeq, a predicted model, not a curated record